CCAGCAUUCAACAUGUACAGUAUCAGAAGGUGGACAACUUCUAAGUUUCCAAGAUCUAAAGACAAAGAACAGCCUCGAAAACAAAGACUUCUAUAGACACUUGCAGCUGAGAGAUUAUUCCCCAAAAGAGAUGAGGUCAAAUGAAACUAUAAAUAAGGUGAUUGGUGUUAUCAGCGAUUCACACAAACAUCUCUGCUUUCUAUCGAGCUUUGGGUGACAGCAGGAAGGAAUCAACACUUUAUAAAAAAGCAAAAAGGGAAGCAGAGCUAAAAAUCCAAAUACAAGAGGAGGAGUGGCACCACAUGUGUGAGACACAACGUACAACAACAAAUUCAUUCAUAUUGAGGGAGUUCUGCUGGAAAAACCUGACUCACUAUUUUAUAACAGCAAAGAUAUAAAUCUAGGCAUCUGGCUUCACAGCAGGACUGCUGGAGAUUAUGUGGGAGCGUGGAGGCAGACCAUGAACGCAUCUUCUGGAAGUGUAUAAAAAUGAGGAUAUACGGGCAAAAUGUUAACUCAGUCGUAAAAAAUGUCUUGGGAUGUGAAAUUCCAAACACAAGUGAUGAUUCUUGGGAAUAUUGAGAAGGUUGUAGUGAAAGAAGAUCUGUACUUGACUAAAGUGUUACUAGCAGAGAGUAAGACACAAGCAACUGGCUCAAUGUGAACGCUCCAAAACAGGAGCAGUGGUUAUGGAACGAUCAACUCAAAGAGGACGUAUGCUAAAUGCUAAUGCUAAAUGGAACAGUGGACUGAAUAGUAGCAUCUCCAGACAGUCUGUUAGUGUUAUUAUUGUUACUUUAACUUGUAUCUUCUUUGAUGUAUUGUUUUUGCCGACAUACAUGUGAAAACUCAAUAAAAAUUUAAGUU
Molecule: long non-coding RNA, 867 nt
Organism: Mugil cephalus (flathead mullet)
Lineage: Eukaryota; Metazoa; Chordata; Actinopteri; Mugiliformes; Mugilidae
Exons: 2
Source: RefSeq, a predicted model, not a curated record